This 253-nucleotide ribosomal RNA is filed under the name uncultured bacterium. Its description in RNAcentral is "partial 16S ribosomal RNA". It matches the Rfam family "Bacterial small subunit ribosomal RNA", at positions 524 to 776 of the family's 1533-position model. The record is from RNAcentral.
UACGAAGGGGGCUAGCGUUGCUCGGAAUUACUGGGCGUAACGGGCGCGUAGGCGGACAGUUUAGUCAGAGGUGAAAGCCCAGGGCUCAACCUUGGAAUAGCCUUUGAUACUGGCUGUCUUGAGUUCGGGAGAGGUGAGUGGAAUGCCGAGUGUAGAGGUGAAAUUCGUAGAUAUUCGGCGGAACACCAGUGGCGAAGGCGACUCACUGGCCCGAUACUGACGCUGAGGCGCGAAAGCGUGGGGAGCAAACAGG